AAGCCAUGUGUUGGAAAAUUUAUUAUCAUUACUUUCAUCCUCUCCCAAGCUUGUGCAACAUGUUCAUGAUCUUUUUGUUGAAAGUUCAUUAUUUCAUUUCUAAGGGU
This is a non-coding RNA of Hordeum vulgare subsp. vulgare (domesticated barley), 107 nucleotides long. NCBI's taxonomy places the organism in Eukaryota, Viridiplantae, Streptophyta, Magnoliopsida, Poales, Poaceae. The record is from Rfam.